UACGGGGGGGGGCGAGCGUUGUUCGGAAUUACUGGGCGUAAAGGGUUUGUAGGUGGCCUGCUAAGUCAGACGUGAAAUCCCUCAGCUUAACUGGGGAACUGCGUCUGAUACUGGCGGGCUUGAGGACAGGAGAGGAACGCGGAAUUCCAGGUGUAGCGGUGAAAUGCGUAGAUAUCGGGAGGAACAUCAGUGGCGAAGGCGACCGCCUGGCCCAACACUGACGCUGAGGUGCGAAAGCGUGGGUAGCAAACAGG
This 254-nucleotide ribosomal RNA is filed under the name uncultured bacterium. RNAcentral's name for it is "partial 16S ribosomal RNA". It matches the Rfam family "Bacterial small subunit ribosomal RNA", at positions 524 to 776 of the family's 1533-position model. The record is from RNAcentral.